CCGCACAAGCGGCGGAGCAUGCGGAUAAUUCGAUGCAACGCGAAGAACCUUACCAAGGCUUGACAUACACCGGUAACGCCCAGAGAUGGGUGCCCCUUUGUGGUCGGUGUACAGGUGGUGCAUGGUUGUCGUCAGCUCGUGUCGUGAGAUGUUGGGUUAAGUCCCGCAACGAGCGCAACCCUCGUCCUAUGUUGCCAGCGGGUCAUGCCGGGGACUCAUGGGAGACUGCCGGGGUCAACUCGGAGGAAGGUGGGGGUGACGUCAAAUCAUCAUGCCCCUUAUGUCUUGGGCUUCACGCAUGCUACAAUGGCCGGUACAAAGGGCUGCGAUACCGCGAGGUGGAGCGAAUCCCAGAAAGCCGGUCUCAGUUCGGAUUGGGGUCUGCAACUCGACCCCAUGAAGUCGGAGUCGCUAGUAAUCGCAGAUCAGCAACGCUGCGGUGAAUACGUUCCCGGGCCUU
Molecule: ribosomal RNA, 460 nt
Filed under: uncultured Curtobacterium sp.
Lineage: Bacteria; Bacillati; Actinomycetota; Actinomycetes; Micrococcales; Microbacteriaceae
Description: bacterial SSU rRNA
Rfam family: Bacterial small subunit ribosomal RNA
Source: RNAcentral